This is a long non-coding RNA of Musa acuminata AAA Group (dessert banana), 7827 nucleotides long. RefSeq lists it as uncharacterized. The record is from RefSeq and is a predicted model, not a curated record. The transcript is spliced from 2 exons. NCBI's taxonomy places the organism in Eukaryota, Viridiplantae, Streptophyta, Magnoliopsida, Zingiberales, Musaceae.
UCCCUCGUUUUUAAAAAUUAUUAAUAAAGAUUUAUAUGUAAAUUGGAGGACCUAUAUGUAAAUAUAGAAAUUACAAGGACUAAACUGCUAAGUUGCAAAAAAAAAAAGGAAAAAACCGAAAAUUCGGUAUUAUCCCACCGCCUCCCACGCACUCUGUUUCUUCCAGAAACAGAGAGAGCGGUGGGGCGUGAGGAGAAGAAGGAGAGUGGUAGAAGAAGAGAGGAAGAAGAGGGAGAAGAGAAGAAGAAGAAGAAGAAGAAGAAGAAGAGGGAAAAGAAGAGAGGAGGAAGAAGAGGGAGUAGAGAAGAAGAAGAAGGAGAAGAAGAAGAAGAGGAGGUGGCUGCAGCGAGGGCUGCAGCGAGAAGCUGUGGGGCGUGGGGAGAAGAAGAGAGGAAGAAGAGGGAGAAGAGAAGAAGAAGAAGAAGAAGAAGAGAAGAGGAUAGCUGCGGCAAGGCUGCAGCGAGGAGGUGUGGGGUUGGGGAGGAAAAGGGAAGAGGAGAAGAAGAGGGAAAAGAGAGGGAAGAGGGAGAGGAGCGAGAGGUGGCAGCAGCUAGGGCUGCAGCACCUCUGUUUCCUGCAGGUGGAAACAGAGGAGAGGUGUGGGGCGUUCGAAGAGGAGAAGAAGAAGAAGAGGAAGAGAAGAGGAAGAGGAAGCAGGGGAAGAGGUUGUGAUACCUCUGUUUCCUGCAGAGGAAACAGAGGGGAGGGUGUGGGUGACGUCGGGGAGAAGAAGGGGAGGAAGGAGAAGAAGAGAAGAAGAAGAAAGGAAGGAAAAGGAAGAGGAGAAGGGAAGAAAGUAGCUGCGGCUGCGGUUGUGGCAGCUGCAGCUGUGGCAGGGAAAGAAGAAGAGAAAGGAAGAAGGGGAGGAGAGGAAGAAGAGUAGGGGCUGCGGCUGCGGCGAUGGCAGCUGCAGUUGGAAGAGAAGAAGGAGAGGAAGAUGAGCAGGGGAGGAAGAAAAGGCUGUGGCCGUGGCUGAGGCUGCGACUGCAGCAUGCAGCUGGGAAAGAAGAGAAGGAAAGGAAGAAGAAGAGAAAGGAAGAAGGGAAGGAGAGGAAGAAGAGAGGGGGCUGCGGCUGCGGCGAUGGCAGCUGCAGUUGGAAGAGAAGAAGGAGAGGAAGAUGAGCAGGGGAGGAAGAAAAGGCUGUGGCCGUGGCUGAGGCUGCGACUGCAGCAUGCAGCUGGGAAAGAAGAGAAGGAAAGGAAGAAGAAGAGAAAGGAAGAAGGGAAGGAGAGGAAGAAGAGAAGGGGCUACGGCUGCGGCGAUAGCAGCUGCAGUUGGAAGAGAAGAAGGAGAGGAAGAUGAGCAGGGGAGGAAGAAGAGGCUGCGAGUGUGGUGGCUGCGGCCGUGGCUGCGACUCCGGCUGCGGCUGCAACGUUGGCUGCGGUAGCUGCGGCAGCGGUGGUGGCUGCAGUAGCUGCAGUAGCUGCUUUUGGGAAAGAGAAAGAGUAGGAACGAGAGAAGGGAAGAAGGAAAUAGUGCAGUGGAAGGGGGCUGCGGUUGUGACCGCAGUUGCGGUCGUGGCUGCGAUUGUGGCAGCGGCAGCGACGGUGGCUGUGGCAGCUGCGUUUGGGAAAGAAAAAAAAGAAGGAAUGAGAGUAAGAGAGAGCAGGUGACUGUGCCUCGAUGUUCGACACGUGAUGUAGUUGCGAAGAAAGGAAGAAAACGGGAGCACAAAACGAAACAGAGAGAGGACACGGAGAAAAAGUAGAAGGAUUUGGCCUGGCACCUUCUUUGGAUCUUCGGAUCGAAAUCAUUGAAAGGCAAGUUUUCUGAUCCUUCCUAUUGCAAGUUUCCCGCUUGUUUCAAUCCUUUCUAUUGCAAGUUUCCCGCUUGUUUCAAUCCUUUCUAUUGCAAGUUCCCUGAUCGUUCCCCACUGCCAUUUUUAUCUCUACAUUUGCUUUGAUUAUGAGGAACUUUGAAUUGUACUAGCCUUGCAUUUGUUAUAUCUCCUGUUUACAUGUAACGAUUCGAAUCUGUGCAACUUUUGAGAUUAUGAUCUUUUGAUACCGAACUGCCUAUAAGACUUUGUGGAAACUCUGAUUUGUUCAAAACUGAUUUAAUUGGAAACUAGACUGGUAGACCUUUCUUUGAUAUAUGGAUUGAAAGAUCUGAAAUCCAAACACCUGCCCAGUUAUCUGUUGAAUCUGACAUUAUGAAUUCUGCCAACAGAGAUUUUGUUCUAUGACUCUUGCUUACCAAAUUAUUUGUAACUCUCUCUGUUGGACAGUUCAAUUCAUAUGAAGCCUGUCUUAUUUGAAAGUAUUAUCCAAUGAUUAUUUCUGAGUAAAUUGGAGCACGAUUGAUAGUUUGAAUCAUUUGUUCAAUGUGCCUUCUGUAUUCUGCCAGAAAUCGAGCUUUGGUCGAUUUCUCAUAUUCUGGUUUCGUUCCUUUGGAAAUUGAUAUCCUUUAGCCUUCUUAUUCAAUUGAGCUUUAUAUUACUACUUUGAAUUCUUGUAUGCUCUUGUCCUUAAAAUUAUUGCAUUCUUGAAAACUGAUGUGUAACGUUUAUGCUAUAUCGUAUUGACUCAUAUAGGCACAUGUAUAUCCUAUUGUUCCGCAUUUGCUUUCGAUAUGUGCCUAUUCCAGUUUCAUUCCUUUGGACAUUGAAUUCAUCAAAUCUUCUUAUUGAAUUGAGUUAUUUGUGAUUGCUUGGAUUCCAUAUGUGCCCUUGCUUUUAAUUCCCUUCAAAUCUGAAUAUACUUGUGAAAGAUUAUUGCUUACUUCGGAUUGACUCGUAAAGGCACAUGUACGUUUGUUGUUCCGCGUGUGCUUCCGAUAUAUGCUACUUAUUGUUGAAACUGUCCUUUUGUACUCUGGUGUGUGGGAUCGUCUGGACCUUUGCCAGAAAUGGUAAAAGGUAUGCGCUGAUUUGCCCGCUUUGUGGGGUCCCGCUUUGUGGGAUAUUCUGGUAUGCGCUUAUUUGCCCGCUUUGUGGGGUCCCGCUUUGUGGGAUAUUGCUGACUGAGAUCCCACUACACCCUCUAUAUGUUUGAAUGACAUCCAGAGUUUUGGUGAGUUAUUUCUGUUCGUGCUCUGGAUAGUUAUGAUAUGAUUGCAACGUCAAGGACGACGUUUGAGAUUCUGUACGACAUACGAGUUUGAUAUGCUCUGAAAUGCUUCAUUCACUAAUGAUAUGCUUCGAAAUGUUCCAUAUGCCGUUGAUAUGCUCCGGAACAUUUCAUAUGCCAUUGAUAUGCUCCAAUUACUCUGUGCUCCAUUUGCUAUGAACUGAUAUGUUCUGAAAUGUCCUAUCUGCCAUUGAUAUGUUCCAAUUACUUUGUGCUCCAUUUGCUAUGAACUGAUAUGUUCUGAAAUGUCCUAUCUGCCAUUGAUAUGUUCCAAUUACUCUGUGCUCCAUUUGCUAUGAACAGAUAUGUUCUGAAAUGUCCUAUCUGCCAUUGAUAUGUUCCAAUUACUCUAUGCCCCAUUCGUUAUGGAUCAAAUAUGUUUUUGAAUGACAUGAUACGUAUGAUUUGGUAUCUAUUGAGAUGGUAUCCUUGAGAAUUCUUGUAUUCUGCCUUGCAUUAUGAUACCUUACUCGUUUGAAACCGUUCAUUUUGUUCUGAAUAUGCUUUGUCACUUGCUGAGCCGUUUUUGGCUCACUCCGUUGUUAUAUAAAUCUUUCAGGUCAGCUUGUCACUCUUCGAGAUGUUUGAUUUGGGCUGAGGCAAUGGAUAGCUAUUCAGAAUAAUGGGCAAGUCUGGUUGGUUAUUACGAUAUUGUUGUAUAAGUAUGUCUUGUAUGUAAUGAAAUGUUGUCGAUGAACCGAAAUGGAUAUACUGUGUCAAAGUGUUAGGAGAUCUCUCUUAUUUGGAAUUUCAGAAUGUUAAGUCUAAUUUAUGGUGAUAUGAACUUGUGGUGAAUAGUUGGAGUUCUGAUUGUAUAAUUUAUUUAGCUUGUGGAUUUAUAAAUGUUGUUCAUGUUUGUCAAGUUGGCUUGGGUUGCCAUAAAUGUGAAUUAUCGAGUGACGUGAUAUAUGAUUAUAAACUGCACAGGUUUUAUGGAUGUGAAUAUGAAUAGAAUGUUUUCAGUGUCCUCAAACGUUAGUUUGGAUCCUGGAUUGGUCUGUGAUGAAAAUUUUAAAAAUCAUGGAUAUUUUGAGGGGGCGUGCCAGAGGUGGUAUCAGAGCAUUGUUUGAGGAUUACUGAAAUAUUUGAUAUGUUGACGUGCAAAAUAUAUUGAGGUCUAAUGAACUAUAGUGAUUGGUGGAAAUUUUCUUUGAUGUAUUUUAGGAAUCUAGGAUGACGAUGACAUUUAGUCCUCCUACUUCAUCUGAUUUUGAUUAAUUAAGUGGGAUGAAAGGGGUAAUCGAGGAUAUUGAAUCAGAGUGGCGCAGCGAAAGCAUGGUGGACCUAAUUUCAUUGGUGGUAGAAAAAUGAAUGAUGCAAACAGAGAAGAUAUUUGAUGUACAAAAUUGUUUUGAUGAUCAAAAGAUUUCUUUUGCCACCUUAUAUUGGAAGUAGAGGCUGAUUAUUAUUGGCAACAAUGAAAAGAAUUUUUGGAGAUCAGUGACAAGAAUGAUAAGGACAAGUUUACCGAUAAGAAUAUGAUUGGAAAUGAAUCAGAAAGUAAUGACAAGAGGGUCAAGACAUUUGGAUUUGAAAAGGAAAGUUACCAUCAAAGACUUAAUCAUGUGUGAAUUACAAGUUAAAUUAUGAAACAAGUUUGUGUUUUCGGGUGAUUGGAGUCUAUUUUGCUUGUAGAAAGUUGGAUCAUAAAAUAAAAGUUUGCCCUUUGAACAAGAAGAAAGAGUCACUGCCUCCUAAAUCAUCAGCCCAUGUAAGAGUGUAUGCUAUCACUAAAUAUGAUUCUGAAACUUCUGAAUUAGUGGUCAAAGGUAUUAUGCAUGUUUAUGAAAGAAUGCAAAUAUUUGUUUGACCAUGGGUCCCAUCUAUGAUUUGAUUCGGAAUAUUCUGUCUAUCACUUGGGUAUUCAACCUAGACCACUACAUUAUGUGCUAUAUGUAAAUACGAUCAUUGGAGAUUCUUUGAUAACGAACUUGAAUCUGGUCCUCUUGUCUGAUUUUUGUUGGAGAACUUGAACUUUUGCUGAUUUAGUUCUCCUAGAGAUUUGGAGUUAUGAUAUUAUACUUGGUAUGGAUUGGCCAUCUUCUUAUCAUACCAGUAUGGAUUGAUAUAUAACAAAUGAUCGCUUUUUGCAUAUUUGAUCAGUCCAUCUUUUAUUUUGAGAGUAUUGGACAUUAUUUAUCUCCUUGCCUAAUGUAUCCUAGGAUGACUUGUUUGGAUUACCUGCAAAUGUGACUUUGCUUUUGAUUUGGUCCUUGGGAUAAUCCCAAUAUCUAAGCCUCUCUACAGAAAGAUAUCAUUUGAGUAAGUGGAAUUGGAAAAGCAACUACAAGGAUUGUUAAAUGAGGAUUUUAUUUGGCUUAAUAUUUCAUCAUGGGGUGCUCCGGUGUUAGUUAAAAGAAAUGUAUGGAACAUUGAGGCUUUGUAAUGAUUAUAGACAGUUGAAUUAGGUGACCAUCAAAAACGAGUAUUUUCUGAAGUAUCGACUUGCUCGAUUAAUUACAGGGUACGCAAGUAUUUUUAGAAAUUGAUUGAAGGUCGGGUUACCGUCUAUUGAGGAUCAAGGAGGAGAAUAUUUCGGUCACUCGUGGAUAAUUAUGUAAAUGUAUUGUAUUGAUGAAACUAUUUAAGAGUAGGAGGAGGAAAUAAAGAUAUCAUAAUCCUCAUCUUUUCAUCGAUUGAGCUAUGAUCAAUUUAGAGGACUAAAUUUUCUUUUAAGGGGGGGAGAGUGUAAUAUCCCUCGUUUUUAAAAAUUAUUAAUAAAGAUUUAUAUGUAAAUUGGAGGACCUAUAUGUAAAUAUAGAAAUUACAAGGACUAAACUGCUAAGUUGCAAAAAAAAAAAGGAAAAAACCGAAAAUUCGGUAUUAUCCCACCGCCUCCCACGCACUCUGUUUCUUCCAGAAACAGAGAGAGCGGUGGGGCGUGAGGAGAAGAAGGAGAGUGGUAGAAGAAGAGAGGAAGAAGAGGGAGAAGAGAAGAAGAAGAAGAAGAAGAAGAAGAAGAGGGAAAAGAAGAGAGGAGGAAGAAGAGGGAGUAGAGAAGAAGAAGAAGGAGAAGAAGAAGAAGAGGAGGUGGCUGCAGCGAGGGCUGCAGCGAGAAGCUGUGGGGCGUGGGGAGAAGAAGAGAGGAAGAAGAGGGAGAAGAGAAGAAGAAGAAGAAGAAGAAGAGAAGAGGAUAGCUGCGGCAAGGCUGCAGCGAGGAGGUGUGGGGUUGGGGAGGAAAAGGGAAGAGGAGAAGAAGAGGGAAAAGAGAGGGAAGAGGGAGAGGAGCGAGAGGUGGCAGCAGCUAGGGCUGCAGCACCUCUGUUUCCUGCAGGUGGAAACAGAGGAGAGGUGUGGGGCGUUCGAAGAGGAGAAGAAGAAGAAGAGGAAGAGAAGAGGAAGAGGAAGCAGGGGAAGAGGUUGUGAUACCUCUGUUUCCUGCAGAGGAAACAGAGGGGAGGGUGUGGGUGACGUCGGGGAGAAGAAGGGGAGGAAGGAGAAGAAGAGAAGAAGAAGAAAGGAAGGAAAAGGAAGAGGAGAAGGGAAGAAAGUAGCUGCGGCUGCGGUUGUGGCAGCUGCAGCUGUGGCAGGGAAAGAAGAAGAGAAAGGAAGAAGGGGAGGAGAGGAAGAAGAGUAGGGGCUGCGGCUGCGGCGAUGGCAGCUGCAGUUGGAAGAGAAGAAGGAGAGGAAGAUGAGCAGGGGAGGAAGAAAAGGCUGUGGCCGUGGCUGAGGCUGCGACUGCAGCAUGCAGCUGGGAAAGAAGAGAAGGAAAGGAAGAAGAAGAGAAAGGAAGAAGGGAAGGAGAGGAAGAAGAGAGGGGGCUGCGGCUGCGGCGAUGGCAGCUGCAGUUGGAAGAGAAGAAGGAGAGGAAGAUGAGCAGGGGAGGAAGAAAAGGCUGUGGCCGUGGCUGAGGCUGCGACUGCAGCAUGCAGCUGGGAAAGAAGAGAAGGAAAGGAAGAAGAAGAGAAAGGAAGAAGGGAAGGAGAGGAAGAAGAGAAGGGGCUACGGCUGCGGCGAUAGCAGCUGCAGUUGGAAGAGAAGAAGGAGAGGAAGAUGAGCAGGGGAGGAAGAAGAGGCUGCGAGUGUGGUGGCUGCGGCCGUGGCUGCGACUCCGGCUGCGGCUGCAACGUUGGCUGCGGUAGCUGCGGCAGCGGUGGUGGCUGCAGUAGCUGCAGUAGCUGCUUUUGGGAAAGAGAAAGAGUAGGAACGAGAGAAGGGAAGAAGGAAAUAGUGCAGUGGAAGGGGGCUGCGGUUGUGACCGCAGUUGCGGUCGUGGCUGCGAUUGUGGCAGCGGCAGCGACGGUGGCUGUGGCAGCUGCGUUUGGGAAAGAAAAAAAAGAAGGAAUGAGAGUAAGAGAGAGCAGGUGACUGUGCCUCGAUGUUCGACACGUGAUGUAGUUGCGAAGAAAGGAAGAAAACGGGAGCACAAAACGAAACAGAGAGAGGACACGGAGAAAAAGUAGAAGGAUUUGGCCUGGCACCUUCUUUGGAUCUUCGGAUCGAAAUCAUUGAAAGGUCAGCUUGUCACUCUUCGAGAUGUUUGAUUUGGGCUGAGGCAAUGGAUAGCUAUUCAGAAUAAUGGGCAAGUCUGGUUGGUUAUUACGAUAUUGUUGUAUAAGUAUGUCUUGUAUGUAAUGAAAUGUUGUCGAUGAACCGAAAUGGAUAUACUGUGUCAAAGUGUUAGGAGAUCUCUCUUAUUUGGAAUUUCAGAAUGUUAAGUCUAAUUUAUGGUGAUAUGAACUUGUGGUGAAUAGUUGGAGUUCUGAUUGUAUAAUUUAUUUAGCUUGUGGAUUUAUAAAUGUUGUUCAUGUUUGUCAA